This 95-nucleotide transfer RNA is filed under the name Budvicia aquatica. Its description in RNAcentral is "tRNA-Sec". It matches the Rfam family "Selenocysteine transfer RNA". Lineage: Bacteria; Pseudomonadati; Pseudomonadota; Gammaproteobacteria; Enterobacterales; Budviciaceae. RNAcentral also lists the same sequence under 1 other name. The record is from RNAcentral.
GGAAGGUCAUCGCUCCCGGUGGGGCGGCUGGACUUCAAAUCCAGAUGGGGCCGCCAGCGGUCCCUGGCAGGUUCGACUCCUGUGACUUUCCGCCA